Molecule: long non-coding RNA, 993 nt
Organism: Myotis myotis
Lineage: Eukaryota; Metazoa; Chordata; Mammalia; Chiroptera; Vespertilionidae
Exons: 2
Source: RefSeq, a predicted model, not a curated record
AUCCAGCUUGUGACAGGUGGGGAAGCCUCUUCCUAGGGGAUUUGUAGCUUCAAAGAUCUUGCACGUACUCCCCUUCGGAUUCAUGUUGCAAAAUUCAGCCAGCCUCUUCUGCAACAUGGUGGGGGUCGAGGACGUGACAUUUGUACAGAUGACUACCAAGCAAGUCUAUAAAUGUGAGUUACAUCUUAACACAUCCUGCAUAAAACUGACAGUGAAGCAUCAAGCCCAAAUCACCUAUCUUUUAUUCCAGAGAAGAUUCAACAUACAACGACACAAGCGGUUGAUGAAAUGAGAAAAUGUAUGGCAAGCAUCUGGUGUAGGUGAUCAAUAAAUGCUGGUGAUGAAAUGAUCAUGUAUUCACAUUGGGGGACCAUGACAGACCUUUCAUUAAUAUGGUAAAUUUGAUACUGAUCAUCAAUGACUUAAAUUUCCAUAUUAUCAUUCAUUACCAUAUCAUUUAUCACUCAGGCUGGAAAUGGAAAUGACUAAUGAAAAUGUACAUGUAACAGCUGUUAGCUGGCUUAUCUAUCCAUCCAUUUUGGGCCUCACUCCAAUCUUGACAACAAAACCAUGUGUUUCCUCAAACCACCCCCCACUGUCAAGCUGGGAUCCAAGCUCAUCCUUGCCUAGAAGGAAACGCCCCCAGGGGUGGUUUUUCAGCAAAGCAGAAACUUCACAGUUAAGGUCAGGUGCUCCUGAGAUGCAAACUGCCCCCUGGACUCAGGGGAACCUUCUUACUCUAACUGUAUUCCAUGUCAUCUCAUCUCAGAAAGCCUCGCUUGGGUACACUGGAUAAGGAUUCUCUUCUUAAACUACUCUGUUGUGUUAAACGAUUGUCUUUUUCCAUUAUGGGAACAUGGAGCAAUGGGGGAGCAUCAGUAUUCAUAGUUAAAUAUAGUCACCUUUCUUAUUUUUUCCAAAACUCAAAAAACUGUACACUGAAAAGGGCAAAUGUUACUGUACAUCCAUUAAAAUUAAGCUGUUUAAAAUGAA